RNAcentral lists this transfer RNA (75 nucleotides) under Dethiobacter sp. Its description in RNAcentral is "tRNA-Ala". It matches the Rfam family "tRNA". From Rfam's summary of the family: Transfer RNA (tRNA) molecules are approximately 80 nucleotides in length. Their secondary structure includes four short double-helical elements and three loops (D, anti-codon, and T loops). The record is from RNAcentral. Lineage: Bacteria; Bacillati; Bacillota; Dethiobacteria; Dethiobacterales; Dethiobacteraceae.
GGGGAUGUAGCUCAGAGGGAGAGCACCUGCCUUGCAAGCAGGGGGCCGGCGGUUCGAAUCCGCUCAUCUCCACCA